GUGCCAGCAGCCGCGGUAAUACCGGCAGCUCAAGUGAUGGCCGAUCUUAUUGGGCCUAAAGCGUCCGUAGCUGGCCUCGCAAGUCCGUCGGGAAAUCCAUCAGCCCAACUGAUGGGCGUCCGGCGGAAACUGCAUAGCUUGGGACCGGAAGGCUCGAAGGGUACGUGCGGGGUAGGAGUGAAAUCCCAUAAUCCCGCACGGACCACCGAUGGCGAAAGCACUUCGAGAAAACGGAUCCGACAGUGAGGGACGAAAGCCAGGGUCUCCAACCGGAUUAGAAACCCCGGUAGUCC
RNAcentral lists this ribosomal RNA (293 nucleotides) under uncultured bacterium. RNAcentral describes it as "partial 16S ribosomal RNA". It matches the Rfam family "Archaeal small subunit ribosomal RNA", at positions 455 to 747 of the family's 1478-position model. The record is from RNAcentral.